AWUGCUGGCGGCAGGCCUAACACAUGCAAGUCGUGCGGAUAACCUCAUGCAGGUUGUUAGCGGCGAACGGGUGAGUAACACGUGAGAAUCUACCUUGUUCAACGGGAUAGCUUAAGGAAACUUAAAGUAAUAACGUAUGAUUCCUGCAACAGGUAAAGAAAUUUUAUUUCGGAACAAGAUGAGCUUGCGGUAGAUUAGCUAGUUGGUGGGGUAAAAGCCUACCAAGGCCAAGAUCUAUAGCUGGKCUGGGAGGAUGGACAGCCACRUUGGGACUGAGACAAGGCCCAAACUUCUACGGAAGUCAGCAGUGAGGAAUAUUGGACRAUGGGCGAAAGCCUGAUCCAGCCAUGCCGSAUGAGUGAUGAAGAUCCUAUAAAAAGGGAUACAAAAAACAUGUAAUCUCGGAUUGUAAAACUCUGUUUAUUUAGCGAUAAUAAUGAUAGUAACUAAAUAAAAGCUCCGGCCAACUUCGUGCCAGCAGCCGCGGUAAUACGAGGGGAGCGAGUGUUGUUCAGUAUUAUUGGGCGUAAAGGGCAUGUAGGCGGUUUUGUAAGUCGACAAUAAAAUCUUGGAACUUAAUUCCAUAGCAGGUUGUUGAUACUACAUUACUAUGAACUUAAUAGGGGUGAACACAAUUCCAAGUGUAGAGGUGAAAUUCGUUGAUAUUUGGAGGGGUACCAGAGGCGAAGGCGGUUCACUGGGUUAAGUUGACGCUGAGGUGCGAAAGCGUGGGGAGCAAACAGGAUUAGAUACCCUGGUAGUCCACGCCCUAAACGAUGAGUGCUAACAGUUUGGUAUAAAUAAUACAUUCUGAAGGGUAUAUCCUUGAAUAUAUCAUAGGGUUGUAUAUUCAUAUUUGAUUGUAUAGCUAACGCGCUAAGCACUCCGCCUGGGGACUACGACCGCAAGGUUAAAACUCAAAGGAAUUGACGGAGACCCGCACAAGCGGUGGAGCAUGUGGUUUAAUUCGAAUCUACACGAAGAACCUUACCAGCCCUUGACAUUUUAGGUUAAACAUAUUAGAAAUAAUAUGCUGCUUACAACAAAGUAAGAAUACCUUGAACAGGUGUUGCAUGGCUGUUGUCAGCUCGUGUCGUGAGAUGUAUGGUUAAGUCCUAAAACGAGCAUAACCCUUAUCUAUAGUUGCCAAAAAAAAUAGGCUCUCUAUGGAGACUGCUAACGAAAAAAGUUAGAGGAAGGUGAGGAUUACAACAAGUCAUCAUGGCCCUUAUGGGCUGGGCCACMCMCGUGCUACAAUGGCAACUACAAAGAGUCGCAAUAUCGUGAGAUGGAGCUAAUCUCAAAAGGUUGUCUUAGUUCGGAUUGUACUCUGCAACUCGAGUACAUGAAGUAGGAAUCGCUAGUAAUCGUGGAUCAGCAUGCCACGGUGAAUACGUUCUCGGGUCUUGUACACACUSCCCGUCACACCAUGGGAGUCGAUUUUAUCCGAAGAUUCUAGAUUUAGAAUCCAAUGUAAAAUUGGUGACCGA
This 1490-nucleotide ribosomal RNA is filed under the name Candidatus Hodgkinia cicadicola. RNAcentral's name for it is "bacterial SSU rRNA". It matches the Rfam family "Bacterial small subunit ribosomal RNA". Lineage: Bacteria; Pseudomonadati; Pseudomonadota; Alphaproteobacteria; Hyphomicrobiales. The record is from RNAcentral.